RNAcentral lists this unclassified non-coding RNA (502 nucleotides) under Hevea brasiliensis (rubber tree). The record is from RNAcentral. Lineage: Eukaryota; Viridiplantae; Streptophyta; Magnoliopsida; Malpighiales; Euphorbiaceae.
UGUGAUCUCAUUCACCUCUUCAUUUACUACAUCUUGUGUGAUUAAGGCUGCUCCUUUUACCAUAACCAAACACUUAUCUGCUAUUUCUUGUUCUUGUUUUUCUGCAGAAACUGUUUCAAGUUCUUUCUGUGGACUUUCUCCAUUCUUUAUGAGAUUAAUCUCUUGAUGAGAAGUGCCCAGUAGACCUGAAUUCUUCACAAUGAAAACUAGAAUCCCAUUGCAAAGAAGGAAGGUGUAGUUCUUGCCAAUAUUGGAGCUGAAGAAUUGCAUCAAGUUGAAUAUGAAAGGCGGCAUUAAAGAAUAAAGAAACAAGACAGAAAAGAAAAACAGCAAGUCUGAGAACUCAGUGAUAUUACUGGAUUUGCUUAAUUUAAUUUGGAGGUUUUGAUGCUUGAUUGGUUCCAUCUUUUUUCAAAAAUGAAAAGAAGCUUUUGGGAGGAUCAGGACUAGUGAGGGUUAUGGGACUGGUUAACUAUAGGCUAACGAGAGAUGGUGAUUGGUG